UUGAGCAAACAUGAGACUCUCUCAGAAGACAAUGGCUCCUCCAUUCAAGAUGUAAAGUUUACAAGUUUUGCAAUAUUAAUAGAUGUUAUUUCAUAAAUACUUGACUCUGUUUGGUCGAAACCCAUUUAAAGCAAUUAGGAAGUCCAAAUGGCAGGGGCUAACACCAGGUAAACCCCUUCACAAGUAAUACACAGAAAGGUGUGUGUAAUAUCAAUGAAAGUUAGACAGUGAUGAAAAUGUUCAUUUCCAUACUUUUUAUUUCUGGUUUAGUAUGGUGAAAGAAAGAGAUUAAGUGACUUUAUUUUUGAUUUGCAACUGUAGCAAAAAACCUCUUGACCUUUUCAAUAUGUGAUUAGAAAGGAGAAAAGACAAGACCAAAAGCAGAACCUGAUUAAACCAAACACAGAUCUGAUGGCAGGCCUUUGUAAGUCUCUAGUUUAUGCUCCACAGAUGACACACCGGACUUUGACCUGGAAGUCAUACAGAACAAAUGUAUUAAAGGGAUAUUCUGGCGUUAAAUUAAUUUAGGGUCAAACACAUCUUAACACCGAGUUAGACACCCAGUAGAGAUGAAUGUUGCCGACCGCUUGCUUCUCUAGUUAUAACAACUUAAGUAACAACCGCAGGACAGCAAUACACAGCCGUCUCAACCAAAAAGCCACUCUAAAGCCACAAAUAAUGUUCAGAACAGCACCUAACUUCAUCGGCAGUACAGGGUCCCAGCCACAGCACCAGCCACCAAACAUCUUUUUAACUUUGCCUGAUUUCUUUAGCAAAGAGACUAAACACAAAUCACCCACCCUCUUCCAGCAGCCGCUUGUUUGUAGCGAGACCUCGGGCCAGUCCAUUACGGACUACAGUGGGGUGACGUAGCUCAAGGAAGAACAUUUAUGAUCAUUUCUCGAUGGGACAUACUACAUCCGUCUAACCAGAGGAUGCUUUUGACACUAGAAAGGUUUAAGAAGCAACUUGUUUUAAAUCGCCUAAGCCACUUUAUUUGACUAUCUGGGAUUUAAAAUAAAUUGUCGCCAUACUGCUCUAUCCUUUUCCGUUAUUCACCGGCAGAGCCUGUUAAAACUCCUCAUGGUAUUUCUUAAAACUUUUUAAAUGUCUACUUGGCUGUAUUAGUCUGGUCAAACCCUUUUAAAUGUCACAGAGGAAGUUCAACUUACCACUUCCCUUUUUGUUUUCUCUCUAAUUUGGAUUUUCCAGAUCGCUCUCUGCUGUAGGCUGAGUCUAAAAUCACUCUGUGCAUCACUCCUUAUAUAACAGACACUCAAAUAAUGAGCAAUAAAUUGGGAUUUUGGACACUCGUGAAUCACCAUCAUUUUGUGUCAUCACCGACAGUGGUAGUUUCACAUGGCUCUAAGUGAAAAAUGUGACACUUUGCAUUGCGGGAUACUUAACAGAAAGUGUCAUUUUAGGACAUUUGAUUAAAGUACCAGGAGAUGAAUAUAGCUCUGUGUUAAGUGAGGAGUCGAUUCCUGACACGGCCCUUGUCGUUGCUUAUUCUGUGGUCAGAGCUGCACACACACAUUAGCUGUUACUAUUACACAAAUGAAGACAUCAGCUUGUUUUCACCUGCAGGACACCAGAUUUUCUUGUAGAUUCAAAGUCAACCUGUGGCAGAAAUAUUGACCAGAACCCUGUAAAGUGUUCUUUGAUUGAAGUAUUGCAAAUGAGUUCAAACCUGUGUAACCAAUUACUCCUGACAUAACCCCACAGCUUGUUGUGUUCUCUGUCAGUUGUGUGUGUUGGCAUGCGUGUCCGACUCUAAGUGAUUUAAUGAGCUUGACCUUUUUUACAGUAUGCAUCUUUCUCUCUCUCGUCCUCGUUCCCUUUCUCUUUUCUUUCUCCUCUCUGACCCAGAAAGAGAAAAAGCCACCUCAUCAGGUUCACCCUCCACCUGCAAGUCAAAAAUAGAGCUUGUUGAGAAGACAAAUCCUCGCACUGCUUCAGGGGAGAAGAGAAAAGUAGGAACGCACUACUUUAACCCCAUCCUGGCCAAGACGUACAGCUAAGUUUGGUCGAUGAUCCAUUUGGGUGAGUGGAUUUAGAGCUUAACACAGCAGUUUGACCUCUUUUCUUUCUGUCUGAAGUUAAAAAGAUAAAGUCAGCCUCCCAAGAUUCACAUGGACUCAGGUUAACUUUGCCCUCUAUGUAAAAACAUUAAACGUGAAAUGUUAGGAAAAUUACAAAAGCUCCUACUUUGACUUUUCUGUCCAUUUCUCAACAGUCCUCACAGGUUUGGCAGUUUUUGAUUUCUGCCUGAAGAUCGGGAUGAGAUGGACCAGACAGUGAUCAGAGUGUCCCAGAGUAGCAGAGUAGCAGUGGUCCAGGGUGUUGGUGUCCAUGGUGGGACACAUAUUAUACUGUCUGUAUUUAUGUAGCUCCUGCCUGAGAUUGGCUCUGUUAAAAUCCCUGAGAAGGAUGAGCAGGGAGUCCAGGUGUUUUUUUCUCCAUGUCUGUUACAUGUGGCCAGGAAUGCCAUGGUUGCUCCCUUUCUCUCUCCGUCUGUCUCUGGUGGCCCUCCUCCGUCUGCCUGCUGCACACCUGAGUGCAAUUUGCGCUCAGGGAGGAGGAGGAGGGGAUUUAGAGGUGCAGGAAGGGCAGUGUGGAAGGCAGAGAAGGAAGGCACACACACACACACACACACACACACACACACACACACACACGCAUUCACAAGCAGCAGUGUCUUGGUCUGAUUGUAUGUCCAUGAAGAAAUGAUCAUACAACAUAACACGCUAGUUGAAAAAGAAGUUAGGUGCUGUUCUGAGCAUUAUUUGUGGCUGUAGAGUGGCUUUUUGGUUGAGCGCGUUGCUCCUGAGACGGCUGUGUAUUGAUAUCCUGUGGUUGUUACGAAAGUUGGUGUGACUAGAGAAGCAAGCGGUCGGCAACAUUCUAACUCGGUGAUACGGUGUGUUUGACCCUAAAUUAAUUUUACACCAGAAUAUCCCUUUGAACUAGAUUCCAGUUGUUGUUUAGUUAGAAGGGGGUGACGUCCAUUGCGUGAAUGGGCCACCACAUUUCCCUUUUUGCUCCUUUCGACCAGGGUCUCCAACUCCUUUUUUGCCCAUACUUAUUUGAUGCACUUUUGGAUUUAAUAAAGCCUUUGGGGUUAACCUUUUAAUUUGUGUGUGGUGUCCUUUUAUUUAUGUGUUAUGGUCUCUUUUACGAGCUUUUGGUUUGAUUGAGUGUUUGGUCAAGGAGGCCGUAACAAUGUCUGUUAUCUGGUCAGCCAGCUGUUGUAGCGCCUCCAUUUCACAGGCUUGAGGUGGGAUGAAAACACUGACCAGUACGAACAGGGAGAACACCCACAGUGAAUAAAACAGUUUACAGUUUAAAAAGAGUCUCUGCCUGAUUUCUUCAGCACUGUGACAUCUCUACACCAACUUCUGUUUAUGUAAAUGGUUAAACGUCCAACAGCAUUAUUCAAGGUUAACAUUUUGAGCAAAGAUGCCUCCUGUUUUUAUUUUAUCCCUAAAAUCAUCUGAUGGACACUCAGUUUCAUCUUGACCUUUUGGGCAUCCCCAGCACCAGAUUAGGGCUGUCCUCAAAACAAAAACUCCUCAUACAAAGUAAAAUUUUCAGUGAGACCUUCAAAAUCUCUCAUGGCAAAAACAAACUACUGAAAAAGAAAAUAAAGUACUUGAAGAGCCGGAUUAAUUAAAAUCUUUCCUAAAGGCAGGGUGAGGCCAGAAUCACUCCUGAUAUUUACCAGCCGACUCCCCCUGAAGCUGCUGUGGUGAAGAAAAUCAGAGUAUUUUGUGUUCGAGGCAUCUUUGAAACGUCUCCGUUCGGUCACACGAUGUUCAGCAGACAUCAAACCCUCAACCUGUGUGAACUAGACACAACACACAACACAGAUCCCCUCUACACCCUGCGCUCACACACGCUCAGUCUUCCCCCUGCAGCGAGCCACAAAGGUGUUCAGUCAUGUGAAAUCUGAGCCUCAAACCCACAGCUUGACCUUUGACCUUUCACACUUACAUACACAUGAGAACGCGGGAGGAAAAGGUGAGGGUGAGAUUAAAAGAGAGGGUGGAAGUGUGUGUGUCCAUGUGUGUGUGUGGUGUGUUGCAGAGUGGUCACAGAAAUGUAUACAUGUCUGUUGCAGACAUAACAACGGACACACAAUGUGCCCUUAUCCACAUGUGUCUCUAUCUGUUUCUUUCCCACACGCACACACAUGAUAUCAUCUUAAAUUUGUGCAGAGGUCUUUCUCUCUCUUUCUCUUUCUCUCACUCAUUCUUUCACACACACACACACACACACACUUACAUACGCAUGUGCACACAUACAUGAAACUCACACACACUCUUUUCCGCCAAAGGUGACCCAACCCCCUCAUCUGUGUAGCUGCAAUUAACCUCAAUAACCCUGGUGCAUAUGUGUAAGUGUGCGUUUUAGAGUGUGUGUCCUGAACUUGGUCUCCAGGGCAUGCCGUAACACAUAUACACACACACAUACACACACUCACACACACACACACAUAUCCUCCACAUGCACACUGAUAAUCCAUGUCUUUCCUGGACAUCCUUUUAUCCAGCUCAGGCCCCAGGGAUUUUCCGUUGGCCUGGCCAGGCCGAGAGGCCUCUUUCUGGGGUCAGAGAUCAGAGAGAGGCCCUUCAUGACCCUGGAGGAUCCAGGCACGGCACGGCACUCAGAGCAAUCUGCCGUCACUGGUCGGCGCUAUAAGGUCAGGGGGUUAAAACGCAGUCAGAGAGGAUGAUAUAACAAAGAACUUCAUCUUGCACAGUUGAGGAUUGAUUUUCCUUUUUUCAUCAUUCAGCCGCAGUUUCAAAGAAACAGAUUAUCAAGCUGCACUUGCUUUAAUGCUCUCUUUGUUUUAUCAGCAGUAAACCCAGGAGGAAUGACCAACAGAUGACACUGUCCUCAAAUUGCCAAGCCUUAAGACAUGAUAAACUGUUUAUAAAGGCACUGAAGUUGUCUGACAUUUAUCACAGUUGGAGCAG
This is a non-coding RNA of Xyrichtys novacula (pearly razorfish), 4979 nucleotides long. The record is from the annotation of a GenBank genome assembly. NCBI's taxonomy places the organism in Eukaryota, Metazoa, Chordata, Actinopteri, Labriformes, Labridae.